This is a long non-coding RNA of Hippocampus zosterae (dwarf seahorse), 4681 nucleotides long. RefSeq lists it as uncharacterized. The transcript has 2 exons. The record is from RefSeq and is a predicted model, not a curated record. NCBI's taxonomy places the organism in Eukaryota, Metazoa, Chordata, Actinopteri, Syngnathiformes, Syngnathidae.
UCCCUCCCCCGCCAACACACAUAGCCCAGUGCCACGCUUCCUACUCUUCAACCUCUCCUGCCAAAUUCGCACUGCCCAAGUGGAAGUUUUAUAACACACUGGAAAGAGAAGCCUCCCAUCUUUUGUUAGCUCCUCAAUCCAUCUUCCAGUGUAGCGGCAUCCUGUGGACUCCUGACGUGCAAGUGUUUUUGGAUGCCACUCGAUUUCCUGUAGCUUCUCUUUGGCCCAUUUGCAAGGAACACCCCAUCCUGACCCUCACUCCCAUUUCAGGCUCUUACGCGCCUCGUGACAGAUUAUCAAUGGUACUGAGAUAUCUCUCCUUCCGUGUAAGUACUGCCAAGCAGAGGUGAGGGACUCAAGUCACGUGACUUGAGUGGAAUUAAAAAUAUUGGAAUGAAUCAACUUGACUUACACUUUGAGACACAAACAGACAAGAACUGAGCUCGUGCCAUAGUCUUGCCUGUUUAUAAAAAAACAUAAUUGACAACAUUAUAAUUAUAAUUCUCUUUUCAGAGAAACAUAUAUAUUUUUGUCCACACCAAAAACCACAACACAGAACUUUGCUGUCUGCGAGAACCACCUGCCCUGUCCCAGCCUUCUCUCCACUUGCACUCGCUGCUCUGGCCUUCUCAUCCAAACAUAGUUUGGUGCUCAGUCUUUCACAUUCACAGCUACACCGCCUAUUAGCACAUACUAACUGUAGGGUUGUCGCAAUACAAAAGCUACAGUAUUAAAAAUGCAUUCCUAAUGCAACGUGGGACAUUGUUAUAAACACUAAUGCAAUUCAGCUAAUUAACUUACAUUUUGUUUGGUAAUGUAUGUUUGGUCAUGUAAUAACCCUUUAAAUUACUCUGGAGGACAAGUAUAAUUUACAGAGCAUGUGUUCACUAUGAGCCACCCGAGUGAGUGAUUCAAUGAAAGAGAAAAAGGUGAAAUCUCUCCCCCUCUCUCUCUCUCACUGUGUGUGUGUAUAUAUAUUCAUUCAUUCAUUCAUCUUCCGUACCGCUUGAUCCUCACUAGGGUCGCGGGGGGUGCUGGAGCCCAUCCCAGACGUCUCCGGGCAGUAGGCGGGGGACACCCUGAAUCGGUUGCCAGCCAAUCGCAGGGCACACAUAGACGAACAACCAUUCACGCUCACACUCACACCUAGGGACAAUUUAGAGUGUUCAAUCAGCCUGCCAUGCAUAUUUUGGAAUGUGGGAGUAAACCGGAGCACCCGGAGAAAACCCACGCAGGCCCGGGGAGAACAUGCAAAGUCCACACAGGGAGGCCGGAGCUAGAAUUGAACCCGGUACCUCUGCACUGUGAAGCCGACGUGCUAACCACUGGACUACCGGGCCGCCCUGUGUAUGUACUGUAUAUGUAUAUAAUGUAUAUAUAAAGUAUUGGCCCGAAUAUAAGACGGCCCUGAUUAUAAGACGAACCCCUCUUUUUCAAAACUCAAGUUUGAAAAAAGACUUUUUGAACAUCAAAUAAAUUUUUAUACAAAAAAUAAUUACACUACAUCUGAAACCAAUGAUUAUAACAAUAUACAGUAUUUGAGAGAAAGAGCAUGUUAUUUUGCCUCAUUCAAAUCUAAAGUGCAAUCACAUUCGUAAAUGAAUGGCUUCUGGUUUUUGAAAUGUAAAUUACAUCAUAACUUCUCCUCAGCUGCCGGUUAACCUGGCUGAUCUUCGACCCACUUUUCUCCAGAUUGUCACUAUGUUUCUCCAUUUUCUGUUAUCUCUUCUAUUAUUUUCUUCUUUUUUCCUUCUUGCCACUAUUUUUUAUUUUUCCUCUUCGUGCUACCGCUGUUUUUAUUUUUAUUUUUCGUGGCAGGGGUUCACUUUGGCCUGGGAGUUAAGUUCAGCGUUUGCUUCAAUGCUAUCUGGCGCCAUCUAGCGUCGUGAAUGGUUAUAAUUUCGAGACCCCGAAUAUAAGACGACCCCCACUUUUUCAGUCUUAUUUCAAUGCAAAAAACACCGUCUUAUAUUCGGGCCAAUACAGUAUAUAUGUGUGUGUGCACAUAUGUGUACAAUUACAAUUUAGAGCAUCCAAUUCUACCAUGCAUGUUUUCGGAAUGUGGGAGGAAACCGGAGUACCCGGAGAAAAACCAUUUAGGCAUGGAUACCCGGAAUCAAACCCAUAAUGUCUGCACAGUCUGGCAGAUGUGGUAACCAGUUAAUCACCGUGCUGCUGUGUAUAAUAAACAAGAUCAUUCUACGCUCAAAUGUACCAGUGCCCUUUUUAUUUUUUUCAGGUUUUUCUAUUAGACUUUUUUUUUUUUAAACGAUAACUCUCUUCGUUUAUGAUUGUGGAGCACGCAGAGAAGUGCCUUGCUGCCAGACCAUGCAGAUCAGGGGUCUCAAAAUCCGGUCCUGGAGGGCCUGCAUGUUUUCCAAGUCUCCCUGUUGCAACACACCUGAUUCAAAUGAUCAGAUCAUCAGCAAGCUCUGCGGAAGCCUGAUAUUGAACCUGUUCAUUUGAAUCAGGUGUGUUGCAACAGGGAGACUUGGAAAACAUGCAGGACAGCGGCCCUCCAGGACCUGAGUUUGAGACCCCUGAUGUAGACCAAAUUAUAUUUUUGAAAAUGCAAGUCUUUAGCAAAAUUGUUUAUUGUUAGCUUCAGUAGUGAACAUAGCUGGUUAAUUUGCUGCGGAAAUACACGUUUAAUACUUGUGAAUAUUUUUUUGUUCCACAAAACUUUAAAAAAAAAAUAUUGUUCACAUAUGUGAAGCACUAUCUUAAGGAUUUGUUUACAUUGACGUGGUAGGGCAAAAAAGAAUACACUUUUUCUGGUCAUAAGUUAGUCAAUAAAACGAGAACUAGCUUGUUCUGUUUUACUUUGUUUAUGCUCAAAUAUUAGAAUAACUAUCUUGUUCAUUUUUUUUACAUUUUGGAAUCAGUAAAACUCAGUUGGUUUUAAAGUAAAAGUUUAUGAAACAGCAUUCUAUCAUGUUGAUUUUGAGUUACCUUUAAUUUUUUAUUUUUUUUUUUCACGACAGCGGUGAUAUCGCUUUGUGUCGAAUCAUUCGGCCUUAUAUUGAUACGUUUUGAUAAUUUGUGAUCAAUCUCAAAUUGAAAUAAUGAUGAAGUAAUAAUGAUGGGUGGGUGGCCCGGCUGCUGGCGACUGAUGAAUGACUGACCGUCAAAAUUAACUGACAUGCCCAUAUAUGUGUGUGUGUGUGUAGAUGUACAACUAGUGUGGUAUUUAAAUUUGGCUUCGCAAAGUGUGCAAAUUAUUUAGGAUUUCUUCAAUGAGUGAGCCAUCAAGGAACUUAAUGUAAAAGUCUGUAUUAACACUUGUGACCCCCUCUAAGUUUGGACGCAAAGUGAACAGAACUUAGCCUUAAAGCGAGUAAAAUUUUUUAAACAUGGUUUUAAAAAUGUGGAUUAAUCUCCAAAGUUAACGUUCAUAUACAUAUAUAUAUCACAUAUAUUGCCUGUUUGCCAUGAGUGACCCUGCCAGUGGCUUAAAGCCCCAGAACACUUAGCUCCUCAGAUCAUUGUGACACACAAACCCCUCCACCACAGUAAGGUGACGGCUCACGGAGGGAGAGGGAAGUCUGGGUUUCCCUACUAAAGCUGCUGCCCACCGCGAUCCGACCCCGGAUAAGCAGCGGUAAAUGGAUGGAUGGAUGUGUGUGUGUGUGUAUAUAUAUAUAUAUAUAUAUUUAUAGAUAAAGCUAUACCUUGUUUGACUUUUUUCUACAGUAUCAUGUUCUGUCUUGAUUGUGUUCCAGGUCCAGCUGGAGUGAAGGGUGUUUCCCUCCAGCAGGUGCACCUGUACCUCGUUUCCCCAUCAAGCCCAGCCUUGUAUUUAAGGGCUCUUACUUCUGCCAAGUCUUGUUGGAUUACUGACCUUGAUUGCUGUUAUGUUAUGUUCAAGUGUGAUUUUUGUAGACCUCUCAAUGGCAGUGAUAGUCACUCUUGUUUUUGUUCAUAGAUACGUGUUUGUCAAUAUGUUUGUUAAUCUAGUAUUGCGCUUUGUUUUUGUGAAAUUGAACUUUUGGAUAUUUCAUUUGUGUGUUCAAUUGAACCUUGCCUUUGCAAGCGCUUUUGCUUUCAAGCAUUGUUUGUCCUGGCGCCUUGUGACCAGCGAUUUCAGUUAACACGUUAGUGGUGCGAUUUUCUUUCAUAAAUGUUUUUUGUAAUAACACUUUCUCUGAGUCUCUUUUUGGAAUCGUAAAACAUUAUUUGCUUCAGUCAGAAACGAACAUACAUUAAAUUCAGACUUAUGAAUUCCACAUCUGCAUCCAAUUGGGAUGGGAUGUACACAUGUUUGCACAAUUAAGCACGCUAUGCACCCACGCAUUUCCAACCUACGAUAUGUUUUGCAUACUGGAUGUGUAGAGGUGGCGUGAGAAAGGCAACAUCGUCGUCAAACAUUGUAAUACAAAUGCCAUGUGUGGCUGCAGGCCAUACAUUCUUGCAUCGGUGCCCUUUCCUAGUGUCAAGACAAAUCCCAGUUCCAGUGAACCUGUUGUAAUCACAAUAGUUUUUAUGCACCACCGGAGACUGUUUUGGUGACUGGGUGGAUGCUGCCGAGCGCUUAUAAUUGCAACAGGUGGCAAGGAUGGAAGAAAGGUCACGACAGAUUGUCAUCUCACUGUCUGGUACAGUACAUCUAAACAGUCAGUACAGAUGGCUGCUCCCAUUUCAUGUGCGUCUUGAAACAGAAGACAUCACAAAAUGCUCAACA